This is a long non-coding RNA of Cavia porcellus (domestic guinea pig), 453 nucleotides long. RefSeq lists it as uncharacterized. The record is from RefSeq and is a predicted model, not a curated record. The transcript is spliced from 3 exons. NCBI's taxonomy places the organism in Eukaryota, Metazoa, Chordata, Mammalia, Rodentia, Caviidae.
GAAAGAAAUGAGAUUUUUAAGAAGAAUUGCUCGCUUUGUAGGCCCUGAGAAAGGCUGCUGAAUUUGCCUGAAACUGAAGCUUGUGAGUUAAGAACACAACCUUCAUUUAUUCAGCAACAACGGGAAAGUGCGCGUGUUUCCAUGGAGACAGAAUCCAGAACACACUUCACUGGGAAGAGUACAUCUGAAUGGACUUCACUGUGCAGAUGCUGACAUGCGCUACGAAAGACUCACAGCCCAGCUGCAAUCCUGAACUUUCGUAGAAGAUACAUAGAAGGGGAAUAUCUGUGUUGAAGUGUCUGCAUACCCACAGAUGAAUGGGUAAGGAAAAUGUGUCAUUAUACACAAUGGAACACCAUUCUACAACGAAGAAGAAUAAACUGGAGUCAUUUGUAGGUAAAUAGAUGCAUCUUGAGAACAUAAAUUUAAGUGAAAUAAAUCAAAUGCACAAGC